RNAcentral lists this ribosomal RNA (253 nucleotides) under uncultured bacterium. RNAcentral's name for it is "partial 16S ribosomal RNA". It matches the Rfam family "Bacterial small subunit ribosomal RNA", at positions 524 to 776 of the family's 1533-position model. The record is from RNAcentral.
UACGUAGGGUGCAAGCGUUGUCCGGAAUUAUUGGGCGUAAAGAGCUCGUAGGCGGUUUGUCGCGUCGAAUGUGAAAACCCGGGGCUCAACCCCGGGCCUGCAUUCGAUACGGGCAGACUAGAGUUCGGUAGGGGAGUCUGGAAUUCCUGGUGUAGCGGUGAAAUGCGCAGAUAUCAGGAGGAACACCGGUGGCGAAGGCGGCUCUCUGGGACGGUACUGACGCUGAGACGCGAAAGCGUGGGGAGCGAACAGG